Molecule: ribosomal RNA, 465 nt
Filed under: uncultured bacterium
Lineage: Bacteria
Description: partial 16S ribosomal RNA
Rfam family: Bacterial small subunit ribosomal RNA
Source: RNAcentral
GACGAACGCUGGCGGCGUGCUUAACACAUGCAAGUCGAACGGAAAGGCCCUGCUUGCAGGGUACUCGAGUGGCGAACGGGUGAGUAACACGUGGGUGAUCUGCCCUGCACUUCGGGAUAAGCCUGGGAAACUGGGUCUAAUACCGGAUAGGAGCCAUUUUUAGUGUGAUGGUUGGAAAGUUUUUUCGGUGUAGGAUGAGCUCGCGGCCUAUCAGCUUGUUGGUGGGGUAAUGGCCUACCAAGGCGGCGACGGGUAGCCGGCCUGAGAGGGUGGACGGCCACAUUGGGACUGAGAUACGGCCCAGACUCCGACGGGAGGCAGAAGUGGGGAAUAUUGAACAAUGGGCGCAAGCCUGAUGCAGCGACGCCGCGGGGGGGAUGACGGCCUUCGGGUUGUAAACUCCUUUCGCUAGGGACGAAGCUUUUUGUGACGGUACCUAGAGAAGAAGCACCGGCUAACUACGUG